GAUGUCAUCUGAAGGGACCUGGACAGACUGGAGAAGUGGACCCAAGUGAAACUCAAGAACUUAUCUGCUCAGACAGAUAAUGACAGGACAAGGGGGAAUGGUUUUAAACUAAAAGAGGGGAGAUUUAGAUUAGAGGGUAGUAGGAAAUUCUUCACUCAGAGAGUAGUGAGGCACUGGAACAGGUUGCCCAGAGAAGCUGUAGAUGCCCCAUCCCUGGGGCAUUCAAGAAUGAGUUGUACAAGGCCCUAGGCAACCUGAUCUAGUGGGUGGCAACCCUGCCCAUGGCCAGGUGUUGGAUCUAGGUGGUCUUUAGGUCCCCCCAACCCAAGUCAUUCUACGAUUCUAUGGUUCCAUGAUUCAUGUGGGAAAUUGAAAACCAGAGGCAUUGCACCCAUUGCUGUAGGUAUAUUGCAGCUGCUGGCUUUGUGAAAUUGAUGGGAAAAAUCCCUUAUCACAACAGAAGGCAACAUAACUGGAAAUGAAACAUUCAGUUUGGUGAAGAGAGUGGAAAUAACAGUGAUACUGCUGAAUAGCACAUCAAAGGUAUGGGAAUAAACUGGCCAAUAUGGAUAUGUUUCAUCUUUCCCUUAAAAAAUGUUUUCAAAGACGAGAGCUAUAUGUGGAACUGGAAUUAUUUUAAUUUUGCAGGGUCAUCAGGAUGAUGGAAAUACAGGCUGAAACAGCUUCUUAUCUUUAUACUCUUGGAAGAACUGUGCAAUAUCCAAUAGCUAGCCAUGGUCAAAAGAAAAAGGACUAGAUCUUGGGGUGAAUUUCAAAUCACUUAAAGCCACAUUUCUAGUGCUUUGCUAGUGUAAAGAUGUGGCCAUCCACUUACUGGACUUUCAGAAGUCCUACUGAAAAGCCUACUAGCUGUCCCUCUGCAGCUUUCAGAAUAAUUGUUUGCAGUGGAUCUCAAUGCUUUACAAAUAUGUGUAAAAUCUGGCCCAUAGUGAUUCCUUAUGACAGAUUCCUAUUUGUAAACUAAAGAUAGUAGCCACAAAAAGUUAUGGAAUUAAGUACAUUAAAGGUUAGUAUGGUAGGAGCCACAGAAGGCACCGAAAUAGGUCAGCUGGACCACUGCAUUUUGCAUGUUUUCUGAAGCUGUGCUCAGAGAUGCUUGAAGUCCCCUGGUUGCGUGAAGCUGUCUGUAAUGUUACUAACAGAGAAGAGGCAGAAGAAGGGUGUCACACAAGAAAAGAGGAAAAAGCAGGGAGAAAAGAGAGGGGUUUCACAGAGGUCACCAGACCAUGCCCUGUUUGGCUAAGAAGAGCCACCUCCAGCUGGCUGGCGUUAAGCAGGCUGGGCAGGAUGCUGGGGGUCAUCUCCUGCAUGCAGCACUGAGGGUGGCAUACCAGCAAUACCUCCAUCUUCUCCUCCAGUCUGUCACAGUGCUGGGCUCAGCACUGGGCUUUGCUUUGUAUGUUGCUGGGUUUUGUUGUUUUACAGAUGUAUGUAAAUUCAGUGCUAAUUUACUUGAAUUUUGCCUACUGUAACCAAAUGAUGUACCAAUGGACUCUUGACUAGAAAACGCAUAAGGGGUGCUUUGUUUGAUGGCACCUUGUUAGGAGUAACCUGCCCUUAUUCAUGCAGAAAUACUGUCUUGCAACAUAGAGGAGGACAGACAACGAUCAGUGUAGCUCUGAAUAAAAAAAAAAAAAAAAAAAGAGAGAGAGAGAGAGAAACAAAACAAAAACCUAUGUAUGAAUAAAAUGGGAUUGCAGAAACGGCUGUACUUUUUAAUGUAAGGGUUUAAAACUAACUAGUAUAAUAACCUCUGGCAGGAAGGAGCUUAGUACAUGCCAAUUCAUCCUGUCUUUCUAUGACUGCAGACUGAGAACACAUACCCCACGAAUUUACCCAUGAGAUUAGCUGCAAGAGUGUUAAAGCUUUAUCUUCUUGUUGCUAUUUCUGAGAAAUGUUUAUAUCUGCCAGCACAUCUCUCUAUAAAUAGCCUCAUUUCCAGUGAUAGCCCAGGAAUUCUGAGAGUUACAUUUUGCAGCUGUACAUGGUAAACUUUGCUUGAUUUGCUCAUAGUCCAAAUGGUUACGAAGCCAAUGCAGAAUGUCACCAAAGCUGGUGGCUUCCAGUCUCCAGGCCGGCUCAGUCCAGGCCUCCAAGGUGGCCAUCAGGUGCUGCUCUCUCUUCCACAAGGCUGGCCAUCAAACCAUUCAAAGAACACAUUGGCACCACCUGUGCCUUGUUCCAGGAGGAGUUUUGGCUACAAAUUUCACAAGCUUUAACACGAACAUUAAAAUAGCAGUAGUCUAAAGGAAGUUAUUAUUGCAUAGAAAAGCUUGCUCCUGACAAAAGCAUUGCUUGCUUGUUGGAGACCUAGCAGUUCCUUAGGAAUCUGUUUUAUUACAGUGAAACAUCGUCUGUGUGGCAGCAAAGUACUCUGGAGCAGGUGUAAGCAAAGUGAACCUAAGUGUGAAAAGAGAAUUUAAGCUUUGAGCCUGAAAAGUGGGUCUUGCAGAAGUCUGAUCAUGGAAGUCACAUGGGAUUUAGAAACUGCAGAUGAGUAUGGCACCAAGAUAGACCACUGUCUACUGCAGCCUGGACUGAGAUAGUCACUCUCAUGAUAAAUGUAAUUACAAAUGUGUUCCAUCUCCCAGGAUUGUAUCCAAAUGAAAAACAGAAGUCUCAACUGAGAUGGAGUGGAAAACUCCUGAGCAGAGGCAGUUCUACAUUUUGUGACCAAUACGGGAAGUGAAGGUUGAAGCUGUAAGGCCCUGAAGCAGGGCGAAAAUUUGCUUCCAGACAUGACUCUUUUAAAAGAUUUUGAAAUUCAGAGAUGCUUUGCACACAGGAUGAGAGAAGAUAUUGAAGACCAAGAAGUUUGCAUGGAAAAAAAAACCAUGGUGUUUAGUGGUAAAAGGGAAUUAAGCCAUGUCCUUAAGGUGUGCCCUCCUCAGAGCUCAACCUUCAUAUCAGCUGUACGGUGCAGCAGGAAGACAGAUUCUGUAGCCCUGUCUGGACUCAAACUGGCAUGUUUUGAUUGAACUGCUACAAACAGAUUUCAUUAAAGCAUUUCAAAUGUAUGGGUAGAAAAGCCCAAAAUUAAAUUCAAAAGGCAUUAAAUAAAAUACACCUAAGUGAGAAUGUACCAAUAAAAGGUACUCAUUUGUCUUCA
This is a long non-coding RNA of Anas platyrhynchos (mallard), 3130 nucleotides long. RefSeq lists it as uncharacterized. The record is from RefSeq and is a predicted model, not a curated record. Lineage: Eukaryota; Metazoa; Chordata; Aves; Anseriformes; Anatidae.